CAGCCGCCGCGGGAAUACGUAGGGUGCGAGCGUUGUCCGGAAUUACUGGGCGUAAAGAGCUCGUAGGCGGUUUGUCGCGUCGUCUGUGAAAUUCUGCAGCUUAACUGUAGGCGUGCAGGCGAUACGGGCAGACUUGAGUACUACAGGGGAGACUGGAAUUCCUGGUGUAGCGGUGAAAUGCGCAGAUAUCAGGAGGAACACCGGUGGCGAAGGCGGGUCUCUGGGUAGUAACUGACGCUGAGGAGCGAAAGCGUGGGUAGCGAACAGGAUUAGAUACCCGUGUAGUCCCUGUCUCUUAUAC
RNAcentral lists this ribosomal RNA (301 nucleotides) under uncultured bacterium. RNAcentral's name for it is "partial 16S ribosomal RNA". It matches the Rfam family "Bacterial small subunit ribosomal RNA", at positions 509 to 807 of the family's 1533-position model. The record is from RNAcentral.